This 61-nucleotide transfer RNA is filed under the name Tritonia iocasica. RNAcentral's name for it is "tRNA-Cys". The record is from RNAcentral. Lineage: Eukaryota; Metazoa; Mollusca; Gastropoda; Nudibranchia; Tritoniidae.
GAAGUAGUAGUUUAAGUAAAAUAUUAAGUUGCAAUCUUAAAGUUGGGCUUCCCCUACUUUU